RNAcentral lists this ribosomal RNA (468 nucleotides) under uncultured bacterium. RNAcentral describes it as "partial 16S ribosomal RNA". It matches the Rfam family "Bacterial small subunit ribosomal RNA", at positions 28 to 507 of the family's 1533-position model. The record is from RNAcentral.
GAUGAACGCUGGCGGCGUGCCUAACACAUGCAAGUCGAACGGAAAGACCCUGCUCUUGUGCGGUGCUCGAUUGCCGAACGCGUGAGUAUCACGUGUGUAACCUGCCCUUGUCUUUCGGGUAACUUCACGAAACUGGGGCUAAUAUCGGAUAGGAUAUCCUGCACCGUGGUGGGCGUUGGAAAGUUUCGGCGGUUGGGGAUGGACUCGCGGCUUAUCAGCUUGUUGGUGGGGUAGUGGCUUACCAAGCCUUUGACGGGUAGGCGGCCUGAGAGCGUGGACGGCCACAAGAGUACUGAGAGACGGCGCAGUAGCCAACGUUCGGCAAUGGGCGAAAGCCUUACACAGCAAGCCGAAGCGUGUUACGACGGCCCCGGGUUCGUAAAGAUGGCCUAUUGGGUAUGAACAGCUUUCGACUGUGACGAAGCGGUCGUGACGGUAAUGAGUAAAGAAGCACCGGCUAACUACGUG